Molecule: long non-coding RNA, 4141 nt
Organism: Mesocricetus auratus (golden hamster)
Lineage: Eukaryota; Metazoa; Chordata; Mammalia; Rodentia; Cricetidae
Exons: 2
Source: RefSeq, a predicted model, not a curated record
GACUUGGGAACGGGUAGACUGACAGCUGGGAGAUGCUGCACACUAAUUCCUUUUCUGUUGCCCUCUGAUUACAUCUAGGAGAGAGGCAACGGGUCUCUGUCUCGGUGAAGCUGUCACAGGAAGACUUCCCGCUUCUAAACGAGAGAACAGAAAAGCCUUCCGAAUUCCUGGUUCUCAAGCCACCCCAGCCCGAGCCAGUUUCUACUUGAAAGUCAACCAAUUAAUGAAUGAAGGGUGAAGAUGGAAUUCUGCCAGCCACGAUACCGGGGAAGCAAUUUAAUGGCCAUGAGUUAUGGUCCCUCCAUCACAGCGUAACUAAGAAACACAACUGUUUCUGGCAACCUGGCUCCUUCACCAAAAGAACUUCAAGGCAAGAAUUUUAAACAAAAUAACUUUUCUGGGUUCUUGGGCUUUCCUUGUGCAGGAGGAGACACUGCCCUUAGGAGCCCUGAGAACUGGAGUUCACACUGAAGGCUAAAUAAGGUUAAGACCUGGUUGAGCUGGGGUUGAAGCAACCCAUAAAAUGUGGGGGUCACCCAUAAGGUGCAGAGGAAGUAAACGCUGUUUCCCUGGGAGGUCGGUGCAUACAGAUACUUCCAGAGACAAAACAAUGGAGAUUGGAACAUUUUCAAUGGAUAAUAUCCAAAGCAAUGAAAAGGCCAGUCUUGUUGGGGUACAACUGCAGCCCCAGCAUACAGGAGGCCAAGACAAGAGAAUUCAGAGUGUGAGCCAGCUAGUCUGGGCCAUAUAGCAAAAUUCUGCCUGGGGGGGGGUGUUAUACAAAUACAGACUCUUCCAUUUUUUUUUCAUCAUUUGCUGUCCAACAGGGAAACCAUAAAACACUCUCCUUGCAGGAUACAAAGUACAGCUUUUCUUCCUGGGUGACAGAGCCACACUGGAACAGGAAGCGAUGGCAUAUGGUGGAGCGAUUUCAUUAUCAUGACCUGGACUUCGGACUUGAUUUGUGAUCCUAAUUUCUUAGCUCAAUACCUGUCAAGUUUUAGACAACUUCCUUAAGCUCUGGUUUGCUCAUCUACUUGGGGAAGAGCACUGCACCUCGACACAGGGCUGCCACGAAGAAAGACUGGACUCUGUGAGCACAGGAGAUGAAUACUGCCUUGGGGAGUUGCCGUCCUCAGACAUGCUGAAAGCAACCAGUCAUCUGGGCCAGGCUGGAGGACAUGAGGAGGUGGAGCCAAAAUGGCAUUACAACAAAACAAAACAAAAGACCCUAAUGAUCAGUUCACUACUCAGUCUUCUCAAACAGAAUCUGAUGAAAACCACACAGGAGGAGGGCAUUCGAUGGAUGCCAAGUUCUUCAUACCUCCAGCCAGUUAUCACUUGGUGUCACGGAAGAAAGACAUAGUGCGUGCGUGGGCGUGUGUGCGUGCGUGCGUGUGUGUCCAGUGUCCAGGCAGAGUAUUGGAGGAACCAGUAAGUGGUGAGAGAUAGCUCAAUAAAUGGGCCACUGUGUAUCUGCUCCCAUCAAGGGGCAGCUGAGGCAGCCUCUGUUUUCCCAGAUGGAAAUCUUGGCUGAAAGGGAAGAGACCUGCCUUUCCCCAUAAAUUUAGAAAACAUGUGCAGAAAUUGGGCUGUGAUACACAAGCCGUGUAUAAUUCUGAUUACUCUCAAGGCUGUUUUAAAAAGGAAUUGUGGGUACAGCUGAGUGGCAGAGUGUUGUGGAGCACACUGAAGGCCCUGGGUUCCAUCCCCAGGAUAGUAAAAACACAACAAAUCAAGAGGAAGCUGGAUUCAGUCAAGGGCUUUCCCAUGUGCGAAUCAAGCAACACUUCAGUAGCUGGCCGGUGCUGAACCCCCGACCUGUCACAUAGCAGAACGCCUGUGUUUCGGCCCACAGGGCACACAGGUGGCACAGACAACAGAGGCGGCACGUCUGUGUCUCUAGGCACAGACAACAGAACUGUCCAGCUUUGACAACAUCGCCAACACAAUGAACACCCGGGGCGGAGCUAUCGGUGAUCAGACAAGAUGAAGGGAUGCAGAGCUCGAGCGAGAUACAGGAGCGCUAGCUCUGUCUAGUUCAAAAGCAGAGAGAUCUGCCAGUGGAGGAGGUCAGGGGUCACAGACGAGGUUCCUUCCUGAGCUCUCUCACUUGCCUUCCUGCUUUCAUAGUUAUACUCUGCUGAGAGGGACGCCCUCCAGGAUUCAGCACCAAGGAAAGAUGUGUUAUUGCCCUGUAUAUUAAAGUGAGUGUUAGAGAGCUCCCAGCAAUGCGGCUGGGCCUCCCCAACUCCCCUGCAACUCCCCUGCUCCCCUCUCCACCUUACGGGCUAGACCACAUUUGUCCUGCUCGAUCCAUAAACAGUAAGAGCUUAAAGGGUCCAGGUUUGCUUCUGACUUGGCUUAGUGGGGGUCUCUGGGAGGCACUGCCUCUCCUGCCUGCUCAGGUAUUUUUCUCAGUGGUUUCCGGAGCCCCAUGUAGAGGGUGCUACAUGAAUGCCAACAUGUGUGAAUGCAUGUUUUAGUGCAUGUUCAAGGUGAAUGCUGGAGUCGUAGCAAUUCAGGACUGGGGGAGCAGUCACCUCUACAGCCUUCCCUCCCUCUCUCAGGCAGUACCUCAGGGCCCCAGGCUGCUUGUCUGAGUGUCACCUUGAGUGAAUGACAAUCAUUUGUUUGCUGAUCCAGUGCUCCUCUUUUGACCCACCCCUCAGGAAAUUAUAAACCACAGGGUUAAUUCUAUUGAGAUCUGCUCCUUCCCAGGUGCCACAUUCUGCACUAGAGUGAGAAUCUGGUCCCUGAGACAUAGAGACAAGGGUUGCUAGCAGUGUGACUUUGGGCAGGUCAUUAAGUCUCCUGGUUUCCUACCUCUGGCCAAAAACCAAGGAAAACACAGUUACUGCGAAAUGCCUGGCCCCAUGCAGUCUACACACAGUGGAUGUUGACUGUAAGUAAUUCGACAAAACUCACAGAGAAUCCACGGCAGUGAAUAACCUUGAGCUGUUCAAGCAGCCCGUGUUCAAAGUGCUUUCACAGAGUCCUUCGCAAUGAGCACACGCUCUGGGCGAAGUUAUAAAUACCCAUGGGCUUCUGUAAUGGGGCAAACACUAGCAUGUAAAGGCUUACUGGUUUGUCUACGUUGCUUUUGAUGCAGAACAGGCUGAAACUGGAGAUCAUAAUUACUCCACAGUUAAAGUGCACUUUCCAUUUCUGGGAAGAGUCUAUGAUCCCAAUUUUAAUGCAUUUUAAAAUAAACUAUGAGAUUUCACUUUUCUUUAAGUCAUGGAAAUAUUUAUGAGAGUAUGUUUUUAAUUGACACUCUAGUUAUGCUGAAAUGUGUUUAUAAAUACAUAUAUAGAUAUAUACACACACAGGGAUAAUAAAGCAACAAUUCACACUUGUUUUCAUGUAAAGUGGAAAGAAUUUUAGAUUUUAAAUAGACUGCCCACUUCCAAAACUAAAGGUGAAAAGAGUCUUAGGUCUAGGUCUCAGUCUCUCAGACUAGGUUUUAGUCUUUUUUUUUCUAUUUGUUUGUUUUGGUUUUUCAAGACAGGGUUUCUCUGUAGCUUUGGAACUCACCCUGGAACUUGCACUGUAGACCAGGCUGGGCACUGAGAUCUGCCUACCUCUGCCUAAGUGCUGCAAUUAAAGGCGUGUGCUACCAACUCUCAGCUAGGUUUUAGUUACUGUUUGUGCAUAAAACAUCUUCCAAAUCAUACAUGCGAGUAUGUAUGUGAGUCUGUUACAAGGCCCUCUUGAGAACAGUAGUUAAGAUCAUGGCAAGGGAGAUGAAAAUUUAAGAAAGAGCAGUGGGAAUGAUGUGUUUGGCUGUCCUGAAAUGUUUCAGUCCUUUUCCUGGGGUCCUGAGAAUCAGAUCUCAGAAUCAACUUUUCUGACCACUAAGGCAACGAUCAUCCUGUGUAAGGAGAAGACAGGACUUUUAAAGUAUGGCCUCUGUUCUUGUCCCCACGCCCUUCCCCAGCUCACUAGCAGGCUGCAUAGCAGAAGUGUCUCCAUUCAGAGAGGAGCUCUCAGAUCUAUCCCAGUGUGCUAAAAGAGCAGAAGAAGACUUUUGUCCCUAGGUGGAAACAUCUGCCAGAGCCAGCAGCCAGAUCAACAUGUCCCUAAGAGCCCGGUGCUCUGUGUGCAAGGCACAGAGACUAAAAUAAAGUCCAUCAGCCAU